CCUACGUGUGGCAGCAGUGAGGAAUAUUGGUCAAUGGGCGCGAGCCUGCACCAGCCAAGUAGCGUGAAGGAUGCCUGCCCUACGGGUUGUCAACUUCUUUUAUAAAGGAAUAAAGUGAGGCACGUGUGCCUUUUUGUAUGUACUUUAUGAAUAAGGAUCGGCUAACUCCGUGCCAGCAGCCGCGGUCAUACGGAGGAUCCAAGCGUUCUCCGGAUUUAUUGGGUUUAAAGGGAGCGUAGAUGGGUUGUUAAGUCAGUUGUGAAAGUUUGCGGCUAAACCGUAAAAUUGCAAUUGAUACUGGCAGGCUUGAGUACAGUUGAGGUAGGCGGAAUUCGUGGUGUAGCGGUGAAAUGCUUAGAUAUCACGAAGAACUCCGAUUGCGAAGGCAGCUUACUAAACUGCCACUGACAUUGAUGCUCGAGAGUGUGGGUAUCAAACAGGAUUAGAUACCCUUGUAGUC
Molecule: ribosomal RNA, 460 nt
Filed under: uncultured bacterium
Lineage: Bacteria
Description: partial 16S ribosomal RNA
Rfam family: Bacterial small subunit ribosomal RNA
Source: RNAcentral